AGUCAAAGAAGAGUUAGGAAAAAAAAAAAGUUAUUUAUAUCAUUUACUCAGUGCAAAUUUUAUUAGCCUCUGAUAUUAGUGGUUCCUGGUUCGGGACUGGCAUGAAUUUAAGGCCCCCGGAGAUGCUGACUUUUCCAGACCAGAAGGUGCGGAGUGGUUCCAGAUUAGGCACGGGAUCCAACACCAGUUCCCUAUUGGUGGAAAAGGGGUUUUGGCUGACACAAUCGGCGCAGGGAACAACCACACCAUGUCUGGACAAACCUAAGGACAGGAGACGCAGUGGCUGACCCCGCUGGACACAAGGUCUUAGUCACAUCAAAGACAGCGAUCCCCAGACUCUCCCACCACCCCUCGGACGAGAGCAUUGCGUCUCAUUCCUUCAGGAUCUGUUUCUUUCAGCAGCAUAAAUGAACCGAACAUCUCCUCGUCAACAAUCUCACAGAGAGACUCCAUCCAUUCAGCAGAGGUUUUGUCCAUCUGUACCCAGAAGGUUUGGUUUACAAAGACUCUGACCCAUCAUCAUCGUUCCUCCCGCUAAACCCUAAAUCCCUUUUUUGUUGUUUGUUGACUCAGUUUUUUCUAAGACAAUCCAUGAACCGAGCAAUACAUUCUCUGUCUUUCUGGUCGUUAGACGCAGGCGAGUUUAGGUUUUCAAUGUGAGGGAUGCCUAUUGGAAAAUAAUGUUCUGGGGGAGACUCCGGAAAUGUAUGAACAUCUUUAUUCGAUGUUUUCUUCAACUGCUGUAAUGUGUGCCAGUGUUUCACCUUACUGUUUGGACUGGAAUUAAUCUAAAAGCCAAUUUUCCCGCUAACUCAUUCUUUCACCAUUUGUUAAUUUGGAAAAGGUGGAAAAAUGUGAAGGAAAACUGGGCACACGUUCUCACCUGGCAGUGAGAGAGGG
Molecule: long non-coding RNA, 900 nt
Filed under: Sinocyclocheilus grahami
Lineage: Eukaryota; Metazoa; Chordata; Actinopteri; Cypriniformes; Cyprinidae
Description: lncRNA (ENSSGRG00000047379.1)
Source: RNAcentral